Molecule: ribosomal RNA, 449 nt
Filed under: uncultured bacterium
Lineage: Bacteria
Description: bacterial SSU rRNA
Rfam family: Bacterial small subunit ribosomal RNA
Source: RNAcentral
UGCCAGACUCCUACGGGAGGCAGCAGUGGGGAAUAUUGCACAAUGGGGGGAACCCUGAUGCAGCAACGCCGCGUGAAGGAAGAAGGCUUUCGGGUUGUAAACUUCUAUCAAUAGGGACGAAAAGAAUGACGGUACCUGACUAAGAAGCCCCGGCUAACUACGUGCCAGCAGCCGCGGUAAUACGUAGGGGGCAAGCGUUAUCCGGAUUUACUGGGUGUAAAGGGAGCGUAGACGGUGCAGCAAGUCUGAUGUGAAAGGUCGGGGCCCAACCCCGGGACUGCAUUGGAAACUGUUGAACUGGAGUACAGGAGAGGUAAGCGGAAUUCCUAGUGUAGCGGUGAAAUGCGUAGAUAUUAGGAGGAACACCAGUGGCGGAGGCGGCUUACUGGACGGUAACUGACGCUGAGGCUCGAAAGCGUGGGGAGCAAACAGGAUUAGAUACCCUUGUA